AUACGGAAGGUCCGGGCGUUAUCCGGAUUUAUUGGGUUUAAAGGGAGCGCAGGCGGGAUAUUAAGCGUGACGUGAAAUGUAGAUGCUCAACAUCUGAACUGCGUCGCGAACUGGUUUCCUUGAGUGCAUUCGACGUCAGCGGAAUUUGUGGUGUAGCGGUGAAAUGCUUAGAUAUCACGAAGAACUCCGAUUGCGAAGGCAGCUGACGAGACUGUAACUGACGCUAAAGCUCGAAAGUGCGGGUAUCGAACAGGAUUAGAUACCCUGGUAGUCCGCACGGUAAACGAUGGAUGCCCGCUGUUUGCGAUAUAUUGUAAGCGGCCAAGCGAAAGCGUUAAGCAUCCCACCUGGGGAGUACGCCGGCAACGGUGAAACUCAAAUGAAUUGACGGGG
Molecule: ribosomal RNA, 393 nt
Filed under: uncultured bacterium
Lineage: Bacteria
Description: partial 16S ribosomal RNA
Rfam family: Bacterial small subunit ribosomal RNA
Source: RNAcentral